RNAcentral lists this ribosomal RNA (369 nucleotides) under uncultured organism. RNAcentral's name for it is "bacterial SSU rRNA". It matches the Rfam family "Bacterial small subunit ribosomal RNA", at positions 526 to 896 of the family's 1533-position model. The record is from RNAcentral.
CGGAGGGUGCAAGCGUUAUCCGGAUUCACUGGGUUUAAAGGGUGCGUAGGAGGGCAGGUAAGUCAGUGGUGAAAUCUCCAAGCUUAACUUGGAAACUGCCGUUGAUACUAUCUGUCUUGAAUAUUGUGGAGGUGAGCGGAAUAUGUCAUGUAGCGGUGAAAUGCUUAGAUAUGACAUAGAACACCAAUUGCGAAGGCAGCUCACUACACAAUCAUUGACUCUGAGGCACGAAAGCGUGGGGAUCAAACAGGAUUAGAUACCCUGGUAGUCCACGCCCUAAACUAUGGAUACUCGACAUACGCGAUAUACAGUGUGUGUCUGAGCGAAAGCAUUAAGUAUCCCAACCUGGGAAGUACGACCGCAAGGUUG